UCUGCCUCCUUCCUUUCUCUUUGAGGCCUAAAAGCAGAAGUGAAGUUGAGGUUUCCUGAUGCAAGCAGAACCUCAUCAGGUGAGGAGCCUGAGGAAUCUUUUCCCAUUCACAGUGUUCUGGGAGUGAAUCUAAAGUGAAACUUGGGCAUCCUCAAUACUAAGAAGUCUCUGAGAAUGGCUGGGUCUGGACUCUUGGGUCUUACCUCCACGUCACCAGGAAAUGUGAUCGUGUAAAAUUCUUAGGGGGAUUAAUCGCAAGGACUUCCGGAAGCCACUUGGCCACUCACGCGACCAUAAGACGAAUACACAGUCACGUAACCACCAUGGAUCAGGCCAGUGUCGACCUCUCUUAAAAUCUUUGUCCACCACUUCUGUCCUUGGAGAUUCAUUAUAUUUGACUUGUUGCUCUUGUUGGUCAUCACCAACACUUGAUGUGACUUUUUGCUUAAAAAAAAAAAGAAAAACUUUCUAUUAAAAUAAAAAGUUAUAUUCACUGCAGAAAAUUUGAAGAAAUAUUACUUUGUGAGGAAAAAGAAAAAUGGAAUAAAAGAAAAGAACUCUCCAUGACACCAAAUCUUUUAAAAUAUUUGGUAUAUUUCCAUCUGGUUUUAUUUAUUUAAUCUGUUUUUAAUGUGUAUACACUUUCCUGAGUGUGUGUACACUUUCCUGACCAUAAACUGUGUAUAAGAUCUGAGUAUUGUCUUUAUAUAAACUAACAUACACUGAUGCCACUCAAGGUGUGGUCUGUGAACGAGGCACAGAAUGAUGCAUGCGUGGGCAUCUCCAAGGAGGUUUUUAGAAAUGCAGAAUCUAGGCUCCACCCCAGGUCUACUUGAAUCAGAAUUUGCAUUUUGACAAGAUCCCUGGGUGAUUCACAUUAAAGUUUGAGAAGCAUUGACAUAUAUGCUGGAUUUAGUCUGUAUCCUGCUUUGUCACUUACCAAAAAUAAAACUUUUUUUUUUUUUAUAUUCUCCAUUAAUUGUUAAGAAUGCCAUGGAAAUAAUACUCUGUAGAAUUAUGAAAACAUUUAGAGGUUGCAAAAGAGUGAAAUAUAUACUGGUUUAUGAAUUGGCAAAGAGAUCUCUAAAAAGCUUUAUAAUGUUUUUUUAAAGAGCCUUAUUCUAAAGUUUUUCCUAAUGAAACAUUGAUUAUUGGAGUUCAAACUAUUUCAGAAAUGUUGUUUUAUUGUCUGAGAAUGUGAAACAAUACUUUAAAACCCCUUCAGGGAAGAAGGCCAGAAAGUCAUUAAAGAAAGCACAAGGGGCUGGCCCACUGGCAGAUUGGUUAAGUUCCACACUCCGCUUCAGUGGCCCAGAGUUUCACUGGUUUAGAUCCCGGGUGCGGACCUAGUACCACUCAUCAAGCCAUGAUGAGGUGGCAUCCCACAUAGCACAACUAGAGGGACCUACAACUAGAAUAUACAACUGUGUACUGGGGGGCUUUGGGGAGAAGAAAAAGAGGAAGAUCGGCAACAGAUGUUAACUCAGGGCCAAUCUUUUAAAAAAUAAGAGGGGAAGGCAGACUGAAAAAUAAUUGGUAUAUAAUUCUCAUGCAGUACCCUACGUUCAGUGAAAUAAAAAUUUAAAAAAAG
Molecule: long non-coding RNA, 1591 nt
Organism: Equus caballus (horse)
Lineage: Eukaryota; Metazoa; Chordata; Mammalia; Perissodactyla; Equidae
Source: Ensembl